UGAAUUGCGAGAAAUAAUGUCAACUUUGUUUUUUCAAAAAAUGAGACUUUCAGAUCCGAACUUUUGCAGGAAAUCUGCAGGGGAAAAAAUUUCUGUAUGACUUAUUAUUUCCGAUAAAAUGUUGGACCGGCUCACUUCGUUGAUAAAGUUAUUUCACAGUGAGGAGUUAGCCACUUAUCAGUUCGUGUGUACAUUCGAUUUCAAAAUCUCACGAGAUUUAAAAGGAUUUCAGAGAUUUCAAAUAUUUCAUAAGAUGAAUGGUGUACAUCAGAUUUCAAGGCAACAGGAAUUUUCACAAUUGAAACAGCGUCAAUGAAAAUUUCUUUGACAACGUACUUCAGCUUCCAAAUGGAAAAAGAUCACCACUACUUCUGGUUAUAAUGUUCACUCACGGCGGAAGAUUCAUUGAAAGAAGUGCUUCUUCAAUGCGAUACGGCCCAAAAUAUGUGCUUGACGAAGACGUGCUCCUUGUUACUUUCAACAACCGCUGGGGCCAUUCGGGUUUUUGAGCACUGGUGACGAAGUGGCGUCUGGAAACUGGGUCCUCAAGGUCAGUUUUUAAAUGGGUUCAGGAUUACAUCGAAUAUUUUGGUCGUGAUCUUGAUCAAGUGACGCUUUCGAGACAGCUCAGGUGGCGUUUGUGUUCACUUCCCGACGCUCCUCAAUGCCACAGUCGGUAAGAAUUAACGACUCCUUUUUAAUAAAUUCUAAAAGUCAAUUAAUUUUCAGCCAUAGCAUUGAAUUCCUUAGAGGUUCUUGCUGACAGAAAAUGUAAUCUUGUAAAUUUAUCUAGUGAGCUCUGCAAGGCCAGUCAUUUUUUGUCGUUGACUCAAUGGAGCUUUUCCAAUACUUUUUUCAGCUUGUAGCUUAUACAACAGGUUGUGAAGUAUACCUGUAGUAUUCUGUUCAAGGUUAAACGACGAUUACAUGAAAAUUCGUCGAAAACUUUAUAGAAGUUCGAAAUUAUUUCACUCGUGAGAGAAACAAUGCGUAAAAUGAGGUUAGCUUGCUCGGACAGUAGUCCGAGAUAUUUACUUUUUCAAGCAGCAAGCUUUUUCUUUCAUAUUUCCUGACUUAGCGUUUUAUGAGAAUUCUACAAAGUUCGAGAACUUUCUGAAAAAAUUCGAUGUCACACUCACAGUUUUGUUGAGUUUGAUUUACCAACCGGCUCCUCUCAAACCUGACACUCCUCAUCGGUGACACUUACUUCGUAUAUCCUAUCUUCAACGCAGUUCGAAAGCAGCUCGCUCUGGCGGAGAAUCGGCAGUUUUAUAAUGAAUGAAAACUAUACGUUUUGGUUCAACAGCCAAUUACGGUGUGGCGCAUGGUGACGACCUGAUUAACCUCUUCCCAAGAAAUCAGUUUUUCAAAAAUCUGUAGAACCAAACCAUGUGUGAUACCGACUUCCAAAUGGAUGACAUCAUGGUGCUUCUAAAAUAACUCCUAUAUCUUCUACUCAACGUUCUACUCAACGGAAGGCGAUUACUUACAGAUAGGAAAACAUUUCAACCUUACACUAAAGCAGCGGUUUACUUCUUCAAACAGCGAAUACAAUUUUGGGAUGGUUUGGUUGGACAACAUAUCAACACGCAAGCAGAAAUUGAUAGGAAUAGUAAUUCCGAAACAAAUGUUUUGAGAAAAAAUUUAGUAAGCUGAUGUGAAACUUGCCUCUCAAGGGUUUGUCGGAUGACCGACCGAGUAAGUGAAAUGUAUUUGGCACUUAUUUUUCUCUUCUGCAAAGUAAUCGAAUUCUUUCAAACUUUAGGGAAUGAUGGAAAUAGCAAUUACGCUUUUAUGGUCAUUGAGAAUAGUUAAGAAAAUUAACGAAAACGCUGUAAUAAAUAUACUUGCAGCUGAUUCUCAUUAACUUUGAAGCUAUGGCGUUUUAAUCUACAACCAAGAGCCAUUUUUUCAACUUUUCCAUGAAUUUCUCAAACCUUCCGUACUUGCUAAACAAGCGUGAUCAUAAAUUCUAUAAUUUCCCAAAUGUUAAAUCGACGAGUUUAUCGAUCAGAAAAGAAAAACGUGUCAGCAAUUACGAUUUGCUCAAGUGGUCGGUAGAAUAUAA
This is a long non-coding RNA of Neodiprion fabricii, 2068 nucleotides long. RefSeq lists it as uncharacterized. NCBI's taxonomy places the organism in Eukaryota, Metazoa, Arthropoda, Insecta, Hymenoptera, Diprionidae. The transcript has 3 exons. The record is from RefSeq and is a predicted model, not a curated record.